GUCUCUGUGAGAGCGGAGUGGGCUGAGGCUAUAAUGAGUGGUAUGAAGGGAUGAUGUUGAAGACUGGCUGAGCUCGUCAGGGGUAAACAGUGGGGAGUUUCCUUCAGAUUCUACGAUCCGCUUUUCUGGUUUGUCUCUGUUAGGCAGUCCAUUCUGCUUUGAUCCCGUAGAAGCUAAAAGAGGCUAUAAAAAGCUAAAAAAAAUGAGGUAAAGAGGAUCCAGUGUUGACAAAAGGUUAUAACACAGCUGGAGAUGGGAACAUUGUGCUCAGAUUUGCAAUUCCUAAUAACCUCGCCGGACUCCACAACUGUCCUACUGGCAUGGAUAAUUCAGAAGAGUGAGGAACAUUAAGAGAAUCACUGGAGAGUCUGUGAGGCUUCCACAUCACGCCAGACUGCACUUUAUUUUACAAGAAUUUGAUGCAAUCUGUUCGACCCAUCCUCGUUUAAUGUGGCAUCAACCCUUUACACUUCCCUCCCCACAUAUUGGAAAGCAAAUUACUUAAUUUAGAGAUAUGAGAAACAUCUGAUAGAGAGAAAAGCCAAAUGGAGGACAUCAUAGGAAAUUUAUUUCCAAAAAACAUCAACUUCAACGGCAUUUUCACAUGAUUUCACAAGACUAAUGAUUUUUUAAAAUGAUUUAAUCACGUUUGCACUACUUGGGUGGCAAGUAAAUGCAUAAAUGAAGGGUUGCACUCUAAACUGUGAAACCUGAUCAGCCCACAUGACUGUGAUUCAAAAUGCAUGCACUGCUACACACUUAUUACAACAUAGCCAUGUUUUUCCUGACAUGGUAAUACUUUAGUGUUCUUUAAAGUAUCUCAGAGUACCAUGCAAAU
Carassius carassius (crucian carp) is the source of this 838-nucleotide long non-coding RNA. RefSeq lists it as uncharacterized. Lineage: Eukaryota; Metazoa; Chordata; Actinopteri; Cypriniformes; Cyprinidae. The transcript is spliced from 3 exons. The record is from RefSeq and is a predicted model, not a curated record.